UUUUGUUACAGUUCAGUGUUUCUGUUGUUCCGUUGUUUUCUGCUUAAAGUUGAUGCGUUUCCAUCGUGUUUGGUUGAUUUGCAACCCGGAUUUGUUUUCGCUUUAUCGAUUUAUGACUAUUUAACAGCAGUAUACUACUGUUGCCUUUAUAUGGUCUCUGAUAAAUAGUCGUCCGAAUUCAAUCAUAACACAUCUCCUGAUUUAUAUAUUUAAGAUAGUUACUAGUAAAACUACUAGUAUAUGAUCUCACCAGCAUUUAAAGGAAGUAUGCAAAACAUAUAUAUUGUUUUGCUUUGUGAUAUUAUUUAAUUUGAUUUC
This 318-nucleotide long non-coding RNA is filed under the name Mytilus galloprovincialis (Mediterranean mussel). Lineage: Eukaryota; Metazoa; Mollusca; Bivalvia; Mytilida; Mytilidae. The record is from RNAcentral.